RNAcentral lists this ribosomal RNA (200 nucleotides) under uncultured bacterium. RNAcentral describes it as "partial 16S ribosomal RNA". It matches the Rfam family "Bacterial small subunit ribosomal RNA", at positions 1301 to 1500 of the family's 1533-position model. The record is from RNAcentral.
UGGUCUGCAACUCGACCACACGAAGCUGGAAUCGCUAGUAAUCGCGAAUCAGCAUGUCGCGGUGAAUACGUUCCCGGGUCUUGUACACACCGCCCGUCACACCAUGGGAGUCAGCAACGCCCGAAGUCAGUGACCUAACCGAGAGGAAGGAGCUGCCGAAGGCGGGGCAGGUAACUGGGGUGAAGUCGUAACAAGGUACC